RNAcentral lists this ribosomal RNA (464 nucleotides) under uncultured bacterium. RNAcentral describes it as "partial 16S ribosomal RNA". It matches the Rfam family "Bacterial small subunit ribosomal RNA", at positions 28 to 523 of the family's 1533-position model. The record is from RNAcentral.
GAUGAAUGCUGGCGGUGUGCCUAAUACAUGCAAGUCGAGCGGAAAGGCCCCUUCGGGGGUACUCGAGCGGCGGACGGCUGAGUAACGCGUAGGAAUGUACCCCAAACUGAGGGAUAAUCCACCGAAAGGUGGACUAAUACCGCAUGUGCUCUUCGGAGUAAAGCUUCGGCGGUUUGGGAACAGCCUGCGUCCGAUUAGGUAGUUGGUGAGGUAAUAGCUCACCAAGCCUACGAUCGGUAGCUGGCCUGAGAGGGCGACCGGCCACACUGGGACUGAGACACGGCCCAGACUCCUACGGGAGGCAGCAGUGGGGAAUAUUGCGCAAUGGGCGGAAGCCUGACGCAGCGACGCCGCGUGGGGGAUGAAGGCCUUCGGGUUGUAAACCUCUUUCAGCAGGGAAGAAGCGUGAGUGACGGUACCUGCAGAAGAAGCACCGGCUAACUACAUGCCAGCAGCCGCGGUAA